GCCCGAGUGGCGCAACGGCAGCGCAGCCGAUUUGUAAUCGGCAGGUUGGGGGUUCGACUCCUCCCUCGGGCU
Molecule: transfer RNA, 72 nt
Filed under: Chloroflexota bacterium
Lineage: Bacteria; Bacillati; Chloroflexota
Also listed under: 2 other names
Description: Chloroflexi bacterium (marine sediment metagenome) tRNA-Thr
Rfam family: tRNA
About the family: Transfer RNA (tRNA) molecules are approximately 80 nucleotides in length. Their secondary structure includes four short double-helical elements and three loops (D, anti-codon, and T loops).
Source: RNAcentral